Molecule: ribosomal RNA, 497 nt
Filed under: uncultured bacterium
Lineage: Bacteria
Description: partial 16S ribosomal RNA
Rfam family: Bacterial small subunit ribosomal RNA
Source: RNAcentral
GAUGAACGCUGGCGGCGUGCCUAAUACAUGCAAGUCGAGCGAACAGACGAGGAGCUUGCUCCUCUGACGUUAGCGGCGGACGGGUGAGUAACACGUGGAUAACCUACCUAUAAGACUGGGAUAACUUCGGGAAACCGGAGCUAAUACCGGAUAAUAUAUUGAACCGCAUGGUUCAAUAGUGAAAGACGGUUUUGCUGUCACUUAUAGAUGGAUCCGCGCCGCAUUAGCUAGUUGGUAAGGUAACGGCUUACCAAGGCGACGAUGCGUAGCCGACCUGAGAGGGUGGUCGGCCCCACUGGAACUGAGACACGGUCCAGACUCCUACGGGAGGCAGCAGUAGGGAAUCUUCCGCAAUGGGCGAAAGCCUGACGGAGCAACGCCGCGUGAGUGAUGAAGGUCUUCGGAUCGUAAAACUCUGUUAUUAGGGAAGAACAAAUGUGUAAGUAACUAUGCACGUCUUGACGGUACCUAAUCAGAAAGCCACGGCUAACUACGUG